GAUCAUUACCGAGUUUACAACUCCCAAACCCCUGUGAACAUACCUACAACGUUGCCUCGGCGGACCCCCGCCUCCCCGUAACACGGGAGCGGCCCGCCAGAGGACCCAACAAACCCUGUUAUUUUCAGUAUCUUCUGAGUGAAAACACAAUCAAUUAAAACUUUCAACAACGGAUCUCUUGGUUCUGGCAUCGAUGAAGAACGCAGCGAAAUGCGAUAAGUAAUGUGAAUUGCAGAAUUCAGUGAAUCAUCGAAUCUUUGAACGCACAUUGCGCCCGCCAGUACUCUGGCGGGCAUGCCUGUUCGAGCGUCAUUACAUCCCUCAAGCCCCUUCGGGCUUGGUGUUGGGCAUCGGCCGUCCCUCCAGCGGCGGCCGUGCCCCAAAUACAGUGGCGGUCUCGCCCCCGGCUCCUCUGCGUAGUAGUAACAUCUCGCACUGGGACGGAGCGUAGGCCACGCCGUAAAACAACCCAACUU
This 476-nucleotide unclassified non-coding RNA is filed under the name Fusarium dimerum. RNAcentral describes it as "sequence contains 18S rRNA gene, ITS1, 5.8S rRNA gene, ITS2, 28S rRNA gene". The stretch from base 159 to 312 matches the Rfam family "5.8S ribosomal RNA". The record is from RNAcentral. Lineage: Eukaryota; Fungi; Ascomycota; Sordariomycetes; Hypocreales; Nectriaceae.